GAUGAACGCUAGCGGCAGGCUUAAUACAUGCAAGUUGAGGGGCAGCAUGAUAUACGCAAGUAUAUUGAUGGCGACCGGCGGACGGGUGAGUAAAAGGUAGGAGACCUACCUCAUACAGGGGGAUAGCAUAGAGAAAUCUGUGGUAAUACCCCAUGAGGUUAUAUGAAUAGAGGCAUAUAAUCAAAGUAUACGAGAGUAUGCGGUAUGAGAUGGGCCUACUGACCAUUAGCUAGUUGGUGAGGUAAGGGCUCACCAAGGCGAAGAUGGUUAGGGGUUUUGAGAGAGAGAUCCCCCACAUUGGAACUGAGAUACGGUCCAGACUCCUACGGGAGGCAGCAGUAGGGAAUAUUGGGCAAUGGGCGAAAGCCUGACCCAGCCAUGCCGCGUGAAGGAAGACGGCCUUAUGGGUUGUAAACUUCUUUACUAUACGAAUAGAGGUUAGUACGAGUUACUAAUAGGAAGGUAGUAUAGCAAAAAGCAACCGGCUAACUCCGUGCC
RNAcentral lists this ribosomal RNA (498 nucleotides) under uncultured bacterium. RNAcentral describes it as "bacterial SSU rRNA". It matches the Rfam family "Bacterial small subunit ribosomal RNA", at positions 28 to 509 of the family's 1533-position model. The record is from RNAcentral.